UGAGGGAAAGGCGAAAAGAACCCCGGCGAGGGGAGUGAAAAAGAACCUGAAACCGUGUACGUACAAGCAGUGGGAGCCCCACCACUAAGCCAGUGGUGAACUCCACAUACGCAUCCUUUGCUGAGGAUACGGUUAACGGAGCGAAAGCGACGUUCAACCUCAAAAGAAGCAGAGGGGGCUUAGUGGUGGGGUGACUGCGUACCUUUUGUAUAAUGGGUCAGCGACUUAUAUUCUGUAGCAAGGUUAACCGUAUAGGGGAGCCGCAGG
Molecule: ribosomal RNA, 267 nt
Filed under: Salmonella enterica subsp. enterica serovar Poona
Lineage: Bacteria; Pseudomonadati; Pseudomonadota; Gammaproteobacteria; Enterobacterales; Enterobacteriaceae
Also listed under: 1 other name
Description: partial 23S ribosomal RNA
Rfam family: Bacterial large subunit ribosomal RNA
Source: RNAcentral